Long non-coding RNA from Neoarius graeffei (lesser salmon catfish), 381 nucleotides. RefSeq lists it as uncharacterized. The transcript is spliced from 5 exons. Lineage: Eukaryota; Metazoa; Chordata; Actinopteri; Siluriformes; Ariidae. The record is from RefSeq and is a predicted model, not a curated record.
AUUCAAAAUUACAUGAAAUUGAAAUUGGGACACAAAAACAUCCCCUUUCAUUGAUUCCUCUUUUUUCCUCUUAGGAAGCCCCUGUCUCUCAGGUUUUGUUGACUGUUCGUUGUCACAAAGUUCCAUUUCAGGAUACUCAUUCACCAUUGUUCACGAGAUUGACAGGCAUUUGGGUUCUGGGAUGCCAUUUGAGAGGAUUUUGUCAUAGAUAUUCAGGGGUCAUAAGUCAUGAUUCAGCAAGGUCUUCUGGCGUACAUAGAUGUUCAUAGGAUCGUCAGGGUAUGAGAGCGUUUGUUCAAGUCAAGUGAGCUAUCUACCAAGUGGGAUGAUUACGAGAGUGACUGUGUCAGUGUGUAGGUGUGUCAAAGUAGCAGAUUGGAC